GCCCGGGUAGCUCAGUUGGCUAGAGCAUCAGACUUUUAAGCAAUUAGGAAUCUGAGGGUCGUGAGUUCGAGCCUCACUUCGGGCG
This 85-nucleotide transfer RNA is filed under the name Saitoella complicata NRRL Y-17804. It matches the Rfam family "tRNA". From Rfam's summary of the family: Transfer RNA (tRNA) molecules are approximately 80 nucleotides in length. The record is from Rfam by way of RNAcentral. Lineage: Eukaryota; Fungi; Ascomycota; Saitoellomycetes; Saitoellales; Saitoellaceae. RNAcentral also lists the same sequence under 1 other name.